GAGACAACAGAAGAGAACAAAAUGGAUAAAAUACGAAAUUAGAAUGUGUGGACCAUGGUAUUAUGGUAUGUAGCAACGUACCUCACUACUGGGUGCUUGGGAGGUACGGAUGGGUCCAUGGGGCUGAAAUAACAAAACAAAGCAUUUCAGGGAAAUAUAAAUAGAAACGAAGGUUAAUCGAGUGCUUGUUACUCGUCUACGAUGGUCAUACAUGUUGUCAAUGGUACAAAAAUACGUCCACGUCCAUUUCCUGUCUCAAACGUUCGAGCAUCUACAGUUCGAACUAAAGCUAAUUGCACGCAACGCUUUUAACAAAAACAAUAUAUCGUACAACGCACACGUAGAAUAAUUGAAUUGCUUUUGAAUAGAGGAUUGAGAAAUAAAUUGAUACAACACAUGUAUAAGGCAGUUUUAACAUAUUUAUUAAUAUGAAAUUAUUACUAUUAUUGCUUCUUAAAAUUAUUUUAAAUAAUAUUUCUAUUCACUUUCUAUUAGCUAUUUACUGCCCUCCGUAUCGUAAAGAUCUAAAGUAAUCGCCUUUCAGAUAGAUCCAUGAAAAUGAUCGGUUCUCGGUCAAAGAUCCAUCGACGAAAGGGGGGGAAAAAUCAAGAAAAAAGAAAAAAAGAGAAAAGAAAAAUGCCAGACGUUUAAACAGUUGGAUGAGAGCUGGAGUGCAGCAAAGAGCAUUUAAUAUCAUUUACAGAUGUGCUAUAUUGGUAAAUCUUGCGUAUAAAAUCUUGCGUUGUUGGUGUCAUUUCUCUUUUCCUUUAUCCCUCCUAUCUUUAUACGUAUUACAAUAUACACGACAAAUUCGAGAUGCUUAAAUUCCAUUUCCUGUAUCUUUCUCCCGUGCGCGUAAACUAGCAAUCUACUUGGAGAUCUUGGGAAUACGUUAUCAAUUUUUCCUUUCCAUCGCCGGGAUCUAAAGAAUUUUUCAAUGGAACCCAACGUUUUCUUUCGAUUCUAUACGAACGCGCGUCGUAUGACAUCGAAGAUUACCAAAUUAGGUAGAGUAACUAUAAUAAAAGAAU
Long non-coding RNA from Bombus huntii, 1031 nucleotides. RefSeq lists it as uncharacterized. The record is from RefSeq and is a predicted model, not a curated record. NCBI's taxonomy places the organism in Eukaryota, Metazoa, Arthropoda, Insecta, Hymenoptera, Apidae. The transcript has 2 exons.